This 303-nucleotide long non-coding RNA is filed under the name Cucumis sativus (cucumber). RNAcentral's name for it is "long non-coding RNA (CSAT_LNC001483)". Lineage: Eukaryota; Viridiplantae; Streptophyta; Magnoliopsida; Cucurbitales; Cucurbitaceae. The record is from RNAcentral.
UGGUCUCGUCAGGGGAAAAUAAAUUGUUAAAGUUCUAUUGGGACACCCUGUACAGUCGCAGUCUUGUGAUCCCGUAGGAUACACAUUUCAGUCUAACGCCCCGAAGGACGUACAUAUCAGUCUAACGCCCCGAGGGACGUACAUAUCAGUCUAGUGUUCUGCAGAAACACAUAUCAGUCAAAUGCUCCCGAAGGUGCACAAUAAAUUGGUGAUCCCGUGGGACACCUACAAGGUAAACAUCCCAAUACAACCUAACAAUUUAUCCCCUCAUUCCAUUCAACCCAUCUUUCAGUUACUUCAAAU